CUGUUCUAGUAAUUUACAGGUCAAAACAGGAUUAAGGAACGGCGAUGCGGCUCAGCUUUCCUAACCCCCGUUUCUGCUAAGCCCUUGACUGUAAAGCCUCCCAAAGACACAAAAUGUCUUGUUUUUUUCUUUGUUUGUUAAAUUUCACUUCUUUCUGAACAUUCUGUGCUGGGCCUUUUUUUUUCCCUUCUUCUUCUAAAAGGAUUACUGCACUAGGGCCCGGCAUUCCAGAGGCCUGACGUUGGGACCAGCAGCUGGGUCCGUGCUCCCACUGCUGUCAGACCGGCAUUGCCAAGAUCCUUAUUAUUUCUGCUCCGCAUUUUCUCAGAAUCCCAGAGGGCUUAGUGGAAGAGACAG
This 357-nucleotide long non-coding RNA is filed under the name Capra hircus (goat). RNAcentral describes it as "lncRNA (ENSCHIG00010004810.1)". The record is from RNAcentral. Lineage: Eukaryota; Metazoa; Chordata; Mammalia; Artiodactyla; Bovidae.